UUACCUUCACACAGUGUUCUUGCAACACUGAAUUACUUUUUUUUAAAAUGAAGAUGCAAAGGGGACGAAGUCAUACCUGCUCCUGGAGACCGAAGAUGCUGCUCCUAGAGACUGAAGAUGCUUGCAGCGUUGAUGAUGAUUAUCGCCUACUGCUUCCUCUGGUCUUCCUUCUGUGACCACUUGUCUGUGCUUUCCUUCUUGAUUUCUCAACAGCUUCUAAAUCUACAAGGAAGAUUCGGGCUUGCUGUGAGUGUUCUUUGGCUGAAUCCGGGUUUUUUCUUUGUUUGCAGGUCCGAAGACAAUUUCAAGGAUAAUUCUCCUCACUGACUGUUAUUUGCCAUGAACGAGAUCGUGGGCGAGAGACGUGAUCCACGAUUGGAUCGAAUCCGUUGCAGAUUUUCAGCCUGUUGAAUCGGGAUGGAGAAGAUGAACACGAUUGUUCCACCAGCAACGGCAACGUUUCGGCAGCAAUGGACAUUUUCAUUUUGACCCCUGAACGUUUUAAACUCAACAAUUGGGAUCUUAAUCAGUAAUAAUUAAUUUCUAAUUGUGCCCUUGGAUUAGAUUCAAUUUGAAUCCCUGAGUUAUAGCGCCAUUUACAUAACAGUCCUGGGUUUCUGGACUAUUCAAUUUGGUCCUUGGACUUUAAUUUUCUAGCAA
This is a long non-coding RNA of Populus nigra (black poplar), 660 nucleotides long. RefSeq lists it as uncharacterized. NCBI's taxonomy places the organism in Eukaryota, Viridiplantae, Streptophyta, Magnoliopsida, Malpighiales, Salicaceae. The transcript has 2 exons. The record is from RefSeq and is a predicted model, not a curated record.